GAUGAACGCUGGCGGCGUGCCUAAUACAUGCAAGUCGAGCGAACAGAUAAGGAGCUUGCUCCUUUGACGUUAGCGGCGGACGGGUGAGUAACACGUGGGUAACCUACCUAUAAGACUGGGAUAACUUCGGGAAACCGGAGCUAAUACCGGACAACAUUUGGAACCGCAUGGUUCUAAAGUGAAAGAUGGUUUUGCUAUCACUUAUAGAUGGACCCGCGCCGUAUUAGCUAGUUGGUAAGGUAACGGCUUACCAAGGCGACGAUACGUAGCCGACCUGACAGGGUGAUCGGAACACUGGAACUGAGACACGGUCCAGACUCCUACGGGAGGCAGCAGUAGGGAAUCUUCCGCAAUGGGCGAAAGCCUGACGGAGCAACGCCGCGUGAGUGAUGAAGGGUUUCGGCUCGUAAAACUCUGUUAUUAGGGAAGAACAAAUGUGUAAGUAACUGUGCACAUCUUGACGGUACCUAAUCAGAAAGCCACGGCUAACUACGUGCCAGCCGCCGCCGUAA
RNAcentral lists this ribosomal RNA (512 nucleotides) under uncultured bacterium. RNAcentral's name for it is "partial 16S ribosomal RNA". It matches the Rfam family "Bacterial small subunit ribosomal RNA", at positions 28 to 523 of the family's 1533-position model. The record is from RNAcentral.